AGCGUGGAGACAGGUGGUGCAUGGCUGUCGUCAGCUCGUGUCGUGAGAUGUUGGGUUAAGUCCCGCAACGAGCGCAACCCUCACCCCUUGUUGCUACCAGGUAAAGCUGGGCACUCUAGGGGAACUGCCCCGGUCAACGGGGAGGAAGGCGGGGAUGACGUCAAGUCAUCAUGCCCCUUACGUCCUGGGCUACACACGUGCUACAAUGGCCGGUACAAAGGGAUGCCGCACCGCGAGGUAGAGCUAAACCCAAAAAGCCGGUCUAAGUUCAGAUUGGAGUCUGCAACUCGACUCCAUGAAGGAGGAAUCGCUAGUAAUCGCGUAUCAGCACGACGCGGUGAAUACGUUCCCGGGCCUUGUACACACCGCCCGUCACACCACGAAAGCCAGCUGUACUCGAAGUCGCUGAG
This 410-nucleotide ribosomal RNA is filed under the name uncultured Methylomirabilota bacterium. RNAcentral describes it as "bacterial SSU rRNA". It matches the Rfam family "Bacterial small subunit ribosomal RNA", at positions 1025 to 1434 of the family's 1533-position model. Lineage: Bacteria; Methylomirabilota (SeqCode). The record is from RNAcentral.